This 234-nucleotide unclassified non-coding RNA is filed under the name Thymus magnus. RNAcentral's name for it is "internal transcribed spcer 2". Lineage: Eukaryota; Viridiplantae; Streptophyta; Magnoliopsida; Lamiales; Lamiaceae. The record is from RNAcentral.
AUCGCGUCGCCCCCCUUCCCCGUGCUGAAUGCCGGCCGGUCGGGGGCGGACAUUGGCCUCCCGUGCACCUCCGUGCGCGGCUGCCCCAAAUGCGAUCCCCGGGCGACUGGCGUCACGACAAGUGGUGGUUGAACAUCUCAAUCUCUCUCGUCGUCGUGCCGUCCUGUCGUCAUUACGGGAAUAGUCAUAAACGACCCAACGGUACAGGUGCUUAACUGCACCUCACCUUCGACC